Molecule: microRNA precursor, 62 nt
Filed under: Schistosoma mattheei
Lineage: Eukaryota; Metazoa; Platyhelminthes; Trematoda; Strigeidida; Schistosomatidae
Description: mir-3492 microRNA precursor family
Rfam family: mir-3492 microRNA precursor family
Source: Rfam by way of RNAcentral
GCUGAGAUUUCGUCACACACCAGAACACAAAGACUGAUGAGACUCCCAAGAUAAGUGAAGCG